Megalopta genalis is the source of this 639-nucleotide non-coding RNA. Lineage: Eukaryota; Metazoa; Arthropoda; Insecta; Hymenoptera; Halictidae. The record is from RefSeq and is a predicted model, not a curated record.
UUUUCUUUACAAGCUGAGGAACAAUUGACGAGAAUUUACUAUACUUGUCUGUAAUUUAAAUAAAAAUACUGUAAUUGCUGCGUUACAUCAAGCUGUUGAAUGUUUCGGAUUUCUCUGAGAUUUUCCCAGAUACAAUUGGCACAACUUCAGAUGUUUAGCACACUAUGAAAAGGCCCGAUGCGUGACCGAACUUGUUGUUGUUUGUGGCACACGUUAUUGAAACAUAAAUCGUAGGACAAAGCGUUAAAUGUAAUCUCGACAACAGAGUACGACGCACGACGUUUGGAAUCCUGUCCAAGACUGAUCCUAGUUUCCGUACGUUUCGUUGGAGCAAAACUUUUUGCCAAUUAGGAAAAGGUUGAAACCUUGAAAAAUUUCUAUUGGUUGGUACCAAGGGUCUGGUGGUUAUCUUUCUGCGACUGCGUCCUUCUCCACUCCUGGAAAAGAAUCCUUGACGGUCAGUGUCUUCGGAAGACACUUUCUUCGAGGCUAAUGUGGUUGUUAUUAUUAUUACCCAUAAUAUUAUUGGCUUUGCUAGUUGACACGUUUAAGUUACUAUAGGAACAAAUUCACGCAAUUUUGUUUACAACUGAUAGUUUACUGUCAAUUUUAACAUGGAGUGCAAAAAUGAACAUUUUC